UACAGAGGUCUCAAGCGUUGUUCGGAUUCAUUGGGCGUAAAGGGUGCGUAGGCGGCGCGGUAAGUCGGAUGUGAAAUCUCGGAGCUUAACUUCGAAACUGCAUUCGAUACUGCCGUGCUUGAGGACUGGAGAGGAGACUGGAAUUUACGGUGUAGCGGUGAAAUGCGUAGAUAUCGUAAGGAAGACCAGUGGCGAAGGCGGGUCUCUGGACAGUUCCUAACGCUGAGGCACGAAGGUCAGGGGAGCAAACGGG
This 253-nucleotide ribosomal RNA is filed under the name uncultured bacterium. RNAcentral's name for it is "partial 16S ribosomal RNA". It matches the Rfam family "Bacterial small subunit ribosomal RNA", at positions 524 to 776 of the family's 1533-position model. The record is from RNAcentral.